UACUGGGCGUAAAGCGCGCGUAGGCGGAUAUUUAAGUCAGAUGUGAAAUCCCUGGGCUCAACCUAGGAACUGCAUUUGAUACUGGAUAUCUAGAGUAUGGUAGAGGUGAGUGGAAUUUCAGGUGUAGCGGUGAAAUGCGUAGAGAUCUGAAGGAACAUCAGUGGCGAAGGCGACUCACUGGGCCAUUACUGACGCUGAGGUGCGAAAGCGUGGGUAGAAAACAGGAUUAGAUACCCUGGUAGUCCACGCCCUAAACGAUGUCAACUAGGUGUAUGGGAGUUUAACUCCUGUGUAUCGAAGCUAACGCGAUAAGUUGACCGCCUGGGGAGUACGGUCGCAAGACUAAAACUCAAAUGAAUUGA
RNAcentral lists this ribosomal RNA (362 nucleotides) under uncultured bacterium. Its description in RNAcentral is "bacterial SSU rRNA". It matches the Rfam family "Bacterial small subunit ribosomal RNA", at positions 552 to 913 of the family's 1533-position model. The record is from RNAcentral.